Molecule: ribosomal RNA, 411 nt
Filed under: Actinomycetes bacterium
Lineage: Bacteria; Bacillati; Actinomycetota; Actinomycetes
Description: Actinobacteria bacterium partial 16S ribosomal RNA
Rfam family: Bacterial small subunit ribosomal RNA
Source: RNAcentral
UGGGGAAUAUUGCACAAUGGGCGCAAGCCUGAUGCAGCGACGCCGCGUGGGGGAUGACGGCCUUCGGGUUGUAAACUCCUUUCGCUAGGGACGAAGCUCUUUGUGACGGUACCUAGAUAAGAAGCACCGGCUAACUACGUGCCAGCAGCCGCGGUAAUACGUAGGGUGCGAGCGUUGUCCGGAAUUACUGGGCGUAAAGGGCUCGUAGGUGGUUUGUCGCGUCGUCUGUGAAAUUCCGGGGCUUAACUCCGGGCGUGCAGGCGAUACGGGCAUAACUUGAGUACUGUAGGGGUAACUGGAAUUCCUGGUGUAGCGGUGAAAUGCGCAGAUAUCAGGAGGAACACCGAUGGCGAAGGCAGGUUACUGGGCAGUUACUGACGCUGAGGAGCGAAAGCAUGGGUAGCGAACAGG